Quercus lobata is the source of this 587-nucleotide long non-coding RNA. RefSeq lists it as uncharacterized. The transcript has 2 exons. The record is from RefSeq and is a predicted model, not a curated record. NCBI's taxonomy places the organism in Eukaryota, Viridiplantae, Streptophyta, Magnoliopsida, Fagales, Fagaceae.
AAGGAAUUUUAGAAAUUAAUACUCGAACAACGUCUCUGCUUCGCCUUCUCUCCCAUACAAAACCAAAACUAUUCAUAUCAUAGCCAGUUUCAAUGCCUCUAUUUCUUUGUUAUUCAAUUUACUUAUUUGAUUGUUACUUGCAUCUAUUCUUGUUUUAUAUUUGGAUUUUCUUUUAAUCAGUUUCAACUCAAAUGAGGUUUUGAGCUUAAGGAUCAGAUUGAAAGCUUUAAUUUUGAAAGCUUUUUAUGGCCUAUUGAACAGCUUAAAUGCGGCUGGGAAUUCAGUGAUCCAAUUGAAGGAUUCAAUUUUGGAAGCUCUUUAUCACCUACUGAACAGAUUUGGGUUCUUGUAUAGAUAUGCUCUCGGGAAUGCCGAGAUUAUCCAACAACUAGUUCUGGUGGGUGGAGUUAGUUACUCGUAGGUUUUACUUGAGUUCCAAGGGCUCCUCUUUAAAUGGGUUCCCUACCUUACAAAAAGAAAGAUAUGUUUAUGUAUGUAUGUAAAUGUGCUAGCUUAAGGGCUCAUUGAACUUAGGAGCUAGCUUCUAGAUACACUUAAUUUGGAAUUAUUAAGAAGAGUUAGUUAAG